Long non-coding RNA from Solanum dulcamara, 1822 nucleotides. RefSeq lists it as uncharacterized. NCBI's taxonomy places the organism in Eukaryota, Viridiplantae, Streptophyta, Magnoliopsida, Solanales, Solanaceae. The record is from RefSeq and is a predicted model, not a curated record. The transcript is spliced from 2 exons.
AAAAGGAUGUUUAUUGGUUUCCGUUUGAAAACCUUAUAAAUAGCAUAUGUGAUGUAUACACAAUGUAUCUCACAUGUGGCGUUUCAUUUCUAACUCUUUCUAUCUUGUUCUUUUUAGUUUCCCUUUUCAUGUAUCUCUUUUUGUUGCCUCUCCUGCUGGUCUCCAUCAAAAAACAUGUUUCAAGUAGUAAAUAGAUCGCACAAAACUAUCCAAUUUGUAUCCAUCCAUGUUUUAACUAUUGCCAUAUUUGUUCUUCUCUAUUCUCUUUUCCCACUACUAUACCUCUACCUCUCUCUGUUGCAUCUCUUGUUGGUCUGCAUUGAAGGAAUCUCUUUUAUGAAAGGUUGUCUUUUCGUCAAAAGAACGUUGAAACAUAAGAUUGAAUGUUAUAUAUGAUGUAUCUCACAUGAUAUACACCCAUCUAGUAUUAACUCUUGUUAUCUUUGUUUUUUUCUAUUUCCCUUUUACCAAGGAUACACUACUCCGCUCUCCGGUAUCUCCUGCUAGUCUCUGUUAGAAAACAUGUUUUCCACUGUACAUAGGAUGUACCGCACAUAAAUAUGUGCUUUGUCCAUAUACAAGCAGAGAAUAUAUUCUUCCAAGAGGGGUUAUUGAAGAGUGCAUAAGAAGCUCGACAAUGACUUUAAUCCUCCUAAACCAAACCCUCGGAUUCUCAAAUCUGCUUGUGGAAUUCAUGGAUUCCCUCAAUAGGCAUAAUUUCUUCAAAAUGUUGAAGGGAGUUCCAUCAAGAGGCUGCUUUCCUUUCAAUCUUUUGCUGUGCUAAGGAUAUCAAGAAGGGAAGGCAGAAGCGUGAGGGAAAUGUAGCAACGUGUUUCUAUCCCUUCAGAUCAUCCUAGAAGAAAUUCACCCUAUUUGGCCCGAAGAAUGGUGCCAGCAAUUUUAGCUUAAAGGUAUGUGAUGUGUUUUAACGUCUCUAUUCACAGCAUUCAGGCUUCAAUGGUAAAACGUAUAUAUGCAUAGCAACUAUGGCAAUUAUGUAACGCGCCUGAUCUCAGCGUAUAUGUUAGAUAUAAUCUUUUCUUCCCUUAAUACUCAAUCUUAAAUGCAAAUGCUUUUAACCAUGUUAAGAGAUUGAUAAAAGAGAUGUAUUAGCCUGAAUGCUAGAAAGAGAGACGUCAAACCAGACUGCAUACAUUUGCUAAAAUUGUUGGUAGAAUUGUUCGGUUCAGAUAUGCUGAAGUUUUUCCAGGAAGAUGUGAAGCGGUAGAUUCCCGCUGCUACAUUCUCCCUCGCACUUCUGUUUUUCCUUGUCGACAUCCUUGGCACAGCUGAAGGUGGAAAAGAAGGUAGUACAUAAUCUCUUUGGAAUACAACUGAUGUCAAUUUGAGCAGAAGCCGAGGAAGAGAGAUUGUUCGGUCCAUUAACAACAGCUUUGUUUUCUGAGGUAUGUACUGCAUCCAUACUGAUUCCCUUAGCAGAUUUACUGUCAAAUAUCAUCCAAUUGUUCUAAAUUAUCCAAAUCAUAUCAAAUCACAAAGUAAACCGAUAACUCAUUUCUCUUAUGCUUUCCUUUAUCUUACAUCAAGGAAAGUAUAGCUAAUCCCAAAACCAAGUAUUCAACAUGAUUGCAGGCAAGUGGCCAGUGCUUGACGCAGGAGGUCCAGAUUUAUAUAAUGAAGGAAGGCGAUUACAAGGUAGCGGAUGACUAGCAAGGCAUGGAAGUAAUUGGAAGUUUUCGUAAAUCGUAAUGUUCUAUGAUGUACCCCGGUUUGAACCAUUUAACUUACAAGUAUCGUUUCCAUAUGUCUAAUAUAUACAUGGACAUCAUUACCUAAUGAGAGUUUACUCUCUUCACUAUAU